RNAcentral lists this ribosomal RNA (496 nucleotides) under uncultured bacterium. Its description in RNAcentral is "partial 16S ribosomal RNA". It matches the Rfam family "Bacterial small subunit ribosomal RNA", at positions 29 to 507 of the family's 1533-position model. The record is from RNAcentral.
AUGAACGCUGGCGGCGCGCCUAAUACAUGCAAGUCGAGCGAACAGACGAGGAGCUUGCUCCUCUGACGUUAGCGGCGGACGGGUGAGUAACACGUGGAUAACCUACCUAUAAGACUGGGAUAACUUCGGGAAACCGGAGCUAAUACCGGAUAAUAUAUUGAACCGCAUGGUUCAAUAGUGAAAGACGGUUUUGCUGUCACUUAUAGAUGGAUCCGCGCCGCAUUAGCUAGUUGGUAAGGUAACGGCUUACCAAGGCAACGAUGCGUAGCCGACCUGAGAGGGUGAUCGGCCACACUGGAACUGAGACACGGUCCAGACUCCUACGGGAGGCAGCAGUAGGGAAUCUUCCGCAAAGGGCGAAAGCCUGACGGAGCAACGCCGCGUGAGUGAUGAAGGUCUUCGGAUCGUAAAACUCUGUUAUUAGGGAAGAACAAAUGUGUAAGUAACUAUGCACGUCUUGACGGUACCUAAUCAGAAAGCCACGGCUAACUACGUG